Molecule: ribosomal RNA, 490 nt
Filed under: uncultured bacterium
Lineage: Bacteria
Description: partial 16S ribosomal RNA
Rfam family: Bacterial small subunit ribosomal RNA
Source: RNAcentral
AGUGAACGCUGGCGGUAGGCCUAACACAUGCAAGUCGAACGGCAGCACAGUAAGAGCUUGCUCUUACGGGUGGCGAGUGGCGGACGGGUGAGGAAUACAUCGGAAUCUACUUUUUCGUGGGGGAUAACGUAGGGAAACUUACGCUAAUACCGCAUACGACCUACGGGUGAAAGCAGGGGAUCUUCGGACCUUGCGCGAUUGAAUGAGCCGAUGUCGGAUUAGCUAGUUGGCGGGGUAAAGGCCCACCAAGGCGACGAUCCGUAGCUGGUCUGAGAGGAUGAUCAGCCACACUGGAACUGGGACACGGUCCAGACUCCUACGGGGGGCAGAAGGGGGGAAUAUUGGACAAGGGGCGCAAGCCUGAUCCAGCCAUACCGCGUGGGUGAAGAAGGCCUUCGGGUUGAAAAGCCCUUUUGUGGGGAAAAAAAAGCAGCAGGUUAAUACCCCGCUGUUCCGACGGUACCCAAAGAAUAAGCCCCGGCUAACUUCG